Molecule: ribosomal RNA, 152 nt
Filed under: uncultured bacterium
Lineage: Bacteria
Description: partial 16S ribosomal RNA
Rfam family: Bacterial small subunit ribosomal RNA
Source: RNAcentral
CCUACGGGAGGCAGCAGUAAGGAAUCUUCCACAAUGGGCGAAAGCCUGAUGGAGCAACGCCGCGUGCAGGAUGAAGGCUCUAGGGUCGUAAACUGCUUUUGUUUGUGACGAUUAUGACGGUAACAAGCGAAUAAGGGUCUGCUAACUACGUG